AUUUCUAAGGUGUAGUAGCACAUAAUAUUUUCACUAUUAAGGGGUAGAUUUU
Molecule: transfer RNA, 52 nt
Filed under: Paratemnoides elongatus
Lineage: Eukaryota; Metazoa; Arthropoda; Arachnida; Pseudoscorpiones; Atemnidae
Description: tRNA-Glu
Source: RNAcentral